Molecule: ribosomal RNA, 213 nt
Filed under: uncultured Pelagophyceae
Lineage: Eukaryota; Pelagophyceae
Description: partial Bacterial large subunit ribosomal RNA
Rfam family: Bacterial large subunit ribosomal RNA
Source: RNAcentral
AAUACUCCCUGGUGACCGAUAGCGGACUAGUACCGUGAGGGAAAGGUGAAAAGUACCCCGGGAGGGGAGUGAAAUAGUACCUGAAACCGUGCGCUUACAAUCCGUCAGAGCCUGUGCACACUUCGGUGUGGUGGGUGAUGGCGUGCCUUUUGAAGAAUGAGCCUGCGAGUUAGUGAUGCGUGGCGAGGUUAACCCGUGGUGGGGGAGUCGUAG